AACAGAAGAAUGACAAAUCAAAUUUUUUCUCCUGAUUUUUAGCCUUUUUCUCCUGUAAAAAUUUAAAUCCAACUAAAAAUGGUAAAAAUCAGGAGGAAAAAGUUGAUUUAUCAUUCUCCUAUU
This is a non-coding RNA of Gossypium hirsutum (cotton), 123 nucleotides long. The record is from Rfam. NCBI's taxonomy places the organism in Eukaryota, Viridiplantae, Streptophyta, Magnoliopsida, Malvales, Malvaceae.